UACGUAGGGUCCGAGCGUUGUCCGGAAUUAUUGGGCGUAAAGAGCGCGCAGGCGGUCUGCCAAGUCAGAUGUGAAAGAGGCCGGCUUAACCGGCAAGGGUCAUUUGAAACUGACAGACUAGAGUGCAGCAGAGGAUAGCGGAAUUCCCGGUGUAGUGGUGAAAUACGUAGAUAUUGGGAAGAACACCAGUGGCGAAGGCGGCUAUCUGGACGGUUUCUGACACUAAGACUCGAAAGCGUGGGGAGCAAACAGG
RNAcentral lists this ribosomal RNA (253 nucleotides) under uncultured bacterium. RNAcentral describes it as "partial 16S ribosomal RNA". It matches the Rfam family "Bacterial small subunit ribosomal RNA", at positions 524 to 776 of the family's 1533-position model. The record is from RNAcentral.